AGAGUUUGAUCCUGGCUCAGAUUGAACGCUGGCGGCAUGCUUUACACAUGCAAGUCGAACGGCAGCGGGGGUGCUUGCACCUGCCGGCGAGUGGCGAACGGGUGAGUAAUACAUCGGAACGUAUCCAGAAGAGGGGGAUAACGCAUCGAAAGAUGUGCUAAUACCGCAUAUUCUCUGAGGAGGAAAGCAGGGGAUCGAAAGACCUUGUGCUUUUGGAGCGGCCGAUGUCUGAUUAGCUAGUUGGUGGGGUAAGGGCCUACCAAGGCGACGAUCAGUAGUUGGUCUGAGAGGACGACCAGCCACACUGGGACUGAGACACGGCCCAGACUCCUACGGGAGGCAGCAGUGGGGAAUUUUGGACAAUGGGCGCAAGCCUGAUCCAGCCAUGCCGCGUGCGGGAAGAAGGCCUUCGGGUUGUAAACCGCUUUUGUCAGGGAAGAAACGCUCUGGGCUAAUACCUUGGGGUAUGACGGUACCUGAAGAAUAAGCACCGGCUAACUACGUGCCAGCAGCCGCGGUAAUA
This 523-nucleotide ribosomal RNA is filed under the name uncultured bacterium. RNAcentral's name for it is "bacterial SSU rRNA". It matches the Rfam family "Bacterial small subunit ribosomal RNA", at positions 8 to 525 of the family's 1533-position model. The record is from RNAcentral.